AACGAACGCUGGCGGCAUGCCUAACACAUGCCAGUCGAACGAGACCUUCGGGUCUAGUGGCGCACGGGUGCGUAACGCGUGGGAACCUGCCCUUGGGUUCGGAAUAACUCCCCGAAAGGGGUGCUAAUACCGGAUAAUGUCUUCGGACCAAAGAUUUAUCGCCUUUGGAUGGGCCCGCGUUGGAUUAGCUAGUUGGUAGGGUAAAAGCCUACCAAGGCGACGAUCCAUAGCUGGUCUGAGAGGAUGAUCAGCCACACUGGGACUGAGACACGGCCCAGACUCCUACGGGAGGCAGCAGUGGGGAAUAUUGGACAAUGGGCGAAAGCCUGAUCCAGCAAUGCCGCGUGAGUGAUGAAGGCCUUAGGGUUGUAAAGCUCUUUUACCCGGGAUGAUAAUGACAGUACCGGGAGAAUAAGCGCCGGCUAACUCCGUG
This 433-nucleotide ribosomal RNA is filed under the name uncultured bacterium. Its description in RNAcentral is "partial 16S ribosomal RNA". It matches the Rfam family "Bacterial small subunit ribosomal RNA", at positions 29 to 507 of the family's 1533-position model. The record is from RNAcentral.